Myotis daubentonii (Daubenton's bat) is the source of this 705-nucleotide long non-coding RNA. RefSeq lists it as uncharacterized. Lineage: Eukaryota; Metazoa; Chordata; Mammalia; Chiroptera; Vespertilionidae. The transcript has 3 exons. The record is from RefSeq and is a predicted model, not a curated record.
GACACUGGGUGCGCACCCGGCGGGGUGGCGGUUGGGUGCGUGCGGGGAGCGGAUAGGGUCGGGUUUACGGUUCUCUGCACGAGCUGCGGGCUCGGGGCGUGGAUCCCGUUAGCGGUGAUGCGCAGGUGUGGUCCGUAACCAAUGCGCCCGCCUUCUGCCUGGUGGCGUUGAAGGCAGAGCUCGGGAUGGAGGACAGAAUGGAACAGCAGAGGGGGCUCCUGUUAUUACUUCUGGGCUUACAGCUGCUGCUGAUGGGGCAUUACUCUGCCCAAACCACCACCUCCAUGGCUUCACCUCCUCCCUGCGCUUCCUCACACAAGACAAGCCGGAGCGGGGAGAGGAGCUGCCCUUGGUGGUCCAGGUCUCCUCGCAAGGAAUCCCUCACCAGGAUGUGUACUCAAACAUCAGCCAGAUCCACCGUGUGGACAUCAGAAGGGAGGAUUUGCCCAGCUGCCCCAUUGUCUCACCCUACAUCAGUGGCCCCUUGAAGAUGAUGAUCCCAGAGAACUUGACAAUGGAGCAAGUGGUGGAAAAGAACCCACUGGUGGAGCUGGGAGGCCAAUACCAGCCACCCAACUGCUGGACACGGCACCACACAGCAAUAGUGGUACCUUACUAUGGGCAAGCCCAGCACCUGCAGCACCUGCUCUCCCACCUGCACCCCUUCCUGCAGCGCCAGCAACUACAUUAUGCCAUCUAUGUGGU